Molecule: ribosomal RNA, 164 nt
Filed under: uncultured bacterium
Lineage: Bacteria
Description: partial 16S rRNA
Rfam family: Bacterial small subunit ribosomal RNA
Source: RNAcentral
UAGGGAAUCUUCCACAAUGGGCGCAAGCCUGAUGGAGCAACGCCGCGUGUGUGAAGAAGGGUUUCGGCUCGUAAAGCUCUGUUGUUAAAGAAGAACACGUAUGAGAGUAACUGUUCAUACGUUGACGGUAUUUAACCAGAAAGUCACGGCUAACUACGUGCCCG